RNAcentral lists this ribosomal RNA (162 nucleotides) under uncultured bacterium. RNAcentral describes it as "partial 16S ribosomal RNA". The record is from RNAcentral.
GCACGUAGUUAGCCGGUGCUUAUUCUUACGGAUACCGUCAUGAGUCCAACGUAUUAAGUCAAACCUUUUCGUUCCGUACAAAAGCAGUUUACAACCCGAAGGCCUUCAUCCUGCACGCGGCAUGGCUGGAUCAGGCUUGCGCCCAUUGUCCAAAAUUCCCCA